UACAUAUGGCUCCAUACUUUA
RNAcentral lists this non-coding RNA (21 nucleotides) under Caenorhabditis elegans. Lineage: Eukaryota; Metazoa; Nematoda; Chromadorea; Rhabditida; Rhabditidae. The record is from RNAcentral.